Peromyscus californicus insignis is the source of this 526-nucleotide long non-coding RNA. RefSeq lists it as uncharacterized. The record is from RefSeq and is a predicted model, not a curated record. The transcript has 2 exons. NCBI's taxonomy places the organism in Eukaryota, Metazoa, Chordata, Mammalia, Rodentia, Cricetidae.
CCCAGGUCCACGCUGCUGCUGCGAGGCUGACGCAUCCAUCCAUCCAUCCGCCCCCGGGAAUCCCCCACCUCCUUUCUAGGACCUCAAACUCGCCAGGGCGGGGCAGAAAGGUUUAACUGAAGAGAAGACCCAUCUUGAAUGGUAGCAUCAUCCCAUGGACUGGGAUCCAAGACUAUAAAAAGGAGAAAGUGAGCUGAGUACCGGAAUUCAUCUCACUUGGCUUCCCAAUUGUUGGUACAACGUGACCAGCUACUCACGUGCCUGAAGCCAUGCCUUCCUUACUACCAUGAUAUAUAUCCUCAAACUGUAAGCCAAAACAAAGCCUCCCUUCCCUCAGUUCUUCCUAGUCAUGCAUUUUGUCACAGCAACGAGAAGAGUAACUAAUAUGGCUGGACUUCAGCAUUCCCAGACCUCCUUACACCACAGCCCUCUUGCUUCAGGGGACUGAAGCUGUACUAAAUGACUGUGUCCCAGACCCUUUUGUCAAGGGCAGGAUGAUGGGAGAAAAUAAAUGGAGCUGAGUGUG